UACGUAAGGUCCGAGCGUUGUCCGGAAUCAUUGGGCGUAAAGGGUACGUAGGCGGGUUUUUAAGUUAGAAGUCAAAGGCUAUAGCUCAACUAUAGUAAGCUUUUAAAACUGUUUAACUUGAGAGAUGGAAGGGAAAGUGGAAUUCCUAGUGUAGCGGUGAAAUGCGCAGAUAUUAGGAGGAAUACCGGUGGCGAAGGCGACUUUCUGGCCAUAAACUGACGCUGAGGUACGAAAGCGUGGGUAGCAAACAGG
This 252-nucleotide ribosomal RNA is filed under the name uncultured bacterium. RNAcentral describes it as "partial 16S ribosomal RNA". It matches the Rfam family "Bacterial small subunit ribosomal RNA", at positions 524 to 776 of the family's 1533-position model. The record is from RNAcentral.